Molecule: non-coding RNA, 481 nt
Organism: Vicugna pacos (alpaca)
Lineage: Eukaryota; Metazoa; Chordata; Mammalia; Artiodactyla; Camelidae
Source: RefSeq, a predicted model, not a curated record
UGGUAUUACAAUGUGUGCACAGAGACCGAGGCCAAGCCCAGCGUUCAAACAAGGAAACUGAACCCUUGUCUCAGAGCAAACAAGGGGACGUCAUCAAAUACAUUGCAAAGCAGCCAUUCUUGAAGGAGACAAUAUGGAAACUACAAAGUGAAAACACGCUGCUUCGACAGCAACUAGAAGUUGCUCGAAAUGAAGCCAGAAGCAAAAAGACAAUAUUUAAUACCCCAGAGCCAUUUCUGGAUCACAUGGGAAAACUUGAAGCCAUGAGCACACGAGUUCUCAUGCUGGAGGAAGGAAACAAGGAGUUAAUUAAAGAAUGCAGAUGUUUAAAGGACAGACUGUGUCAGUAUGAAACGGACAGAGCAGAAAUGGAAGCCCGUAUGAGACAGCUUCAGCAAGAACUGGCUGACACCCGAAAGAAAGUGUCCACGUUGGAAGCAUCCCUGGAGGUGACAGCACAUCAUCAAACUAACUCAGAAAA